GACAGAGGGUGCAAGCGUUGUUCGGAAUCAUUGGGCGUAAAGCGCACGUAGGCGGUCAUGUAAGUCGGAUGUGAAAGCCCAGGGCUUAGCCCUGGAAGUGCAUCCGAUACUGCAUGACUUGAGUCCCGGAGAGGGUGGUGGAAUUCCUGGUGUAGAGGUGAAAUUCGUAGAUAUCAGGAGGAACACCGGUGGCGAAGGCAGGUCACUGGGCCGCAACUGACGCUGAGGAGCGAAAGCAUGGGGAGCGAACAGG
Molecule: ribosomal RNA, 253 nt
Filed under: uncultured bacterium
Lineage: Bacteria
Description: partial 16S ribosomal RNA
Rfam family: Bacterial small subunit ribosomal RNA
Source: RNAcentral